Molecule: ribosomal RNA, 482 nt
Filed under: uncultured bacterium
Lineage: Bacteria
Description: partial 16S ribosomal RNA
Rfam family: Bacterial small subunit ribosomal RNA
Source: RNAcentral
GACGAACGCUGGCGGCGUGCUUAACACAUGCAAGUCGAACGCUGAAGCUCAGCUUUUGUUGGGUGGAUGAGUGGCGAACGGGUGAGUAACACGUGAGUAACCUGCCUCCUUCUUUGGGAUAACGCCCGGAAACGGGUGCUAAUACUGGAUAUUCACUGGUCUUCGCAUGGGGGUUGGUGGAAAGGGUUUUUCUGGUGGGGGAUGGGCUCGCGGCCUAUCAGCUUGUUGGUGGGGUGAUGGCCUACCAAGGCUUUGACGGGUAGCCGGCCUGAGAGGGUGACCGGUCACAUUGGGACUGAGAUACGGCCCAGACUCCUACGGGAGGCAGCAGUGGGGAAUAGUGCACAAUGGGCGCAAGCCUGAUGCAGCGACGCCGCGUGAGGGAUGGAGGCCUUCGGGUUGUGAACCUCUUUCGCUCAUGGUCAAGCCGCAACAAUGGUUGUGGUGAGGGUAGUGGGUAAAGAAGCGCCGGCUAACUACGU